UAUAUCUCUCUCCAAAUUAUAAACUCCAUUUAUCUUGAUCCACACAUAAACAUGUUCGGUCCAUGGAGGUCCAAUGUAAAGUUGUGGUUGCCUUGGAGAGAUGUAUAUAUGCAAUCAAACAUAGUUGAUUGUCAUGAACCACAGUGAGGAAGAGAUAGACUAUGGACCAGAAGGUGAUGAGCCCAGCCCAAGAGGCAAAUCCAAA
Molecule: long non-coding RNA, 205 nt
Filed under: Medicago truncatula (barrel medic)
Lineage: Eukaryota; Viridiplantae; Streptophyta; Magnoliopsida; Fabales; Fabaceae
Description: long non-coding RNA (MTRU_LNC006617)
Source: RNAcentral